This 253-nucleotide ribosomal RNA is filed under the name uncultured bacterium. RNAcentral's name for it is "partial 16S ribosomal RNA". It matches the Rfam family "Bacterial small subunit ribosomal RNA", at positions 524 to 776 of the family's 1533-position model. The record is from RNAcentral.
UACAGAGGUCUCAAGCGUUGUUCGGAUUCAUUGGGCGUAAAGGGUGCGUAGGCGGCGAGGUAAGUCGGAUGUGAAAUCCCGGGGCUCAACCCCGGAACUGCAUUCGAUACUGCCUUGCUCGAGUACUGGAGAGGAGACUGGAAUUUACGGUGUAGCAGUGAAAUGCGUAGAUAUCGUAAGGAAGACCAGUGGCGAAGGCGGGUCUCUGGACAGUUCCUGACGCUGAGGCACGAAGGUCAGGGGAGCAAACGGG